UUAUUACCGACGCAAACUUUGCUUUAGGGCAGCUGCUUGGGGACUACGAGCGUGUGCUUAAAACUCAAAGAACUUGGCGGCAAGUUAACUACCUAGGGGAAUAUGCGUCUUAAUCCGAUGAUCCACGUGGAAUCUUACUGUACCUUGAAAAAGAGCAGCCGGUGUAUUGCCGUCGUCAGCUUGUUGUUCAAGCAAGGAGAAACAAGCUUAAUGGAGCUGGCGAUGUUAAUCGACAGGGUCCGUAAAGUCAGGUCGAAAUACUGCCUAUGGUACAAGGGAGCGGGUAUUACAAUUCAAAUUUCGAAAUACGGAGCUUGGAAGAAAUGUGAAACCUCCAGGUGAAGGUGGACUUAGGAGUAAGGGAAGAUUAAUAUGCUCCCCUGAACAUGAAACUAGCUUGUGUACAAACCGCCCGUCGCUCUCGCCGGAAGGUGAGA
This 437-nucleotide ribosomal RNA is filed under the name Azumapecten farreri. RNAcentral's name for it is "partial 12S ribosomal RNA". It matches the Rfam family "Bacterial small subunit ribosomal RNA", at positions 840 to 1416 of the family's 1533-position model. The record is from RNAcentral. Lineage: Eukaryota; Metazoa; Mollusca; Bivalvia; Pectinida; Pectinidae.